UUUGUAUAUUUUACAUGAAAAUUAAUAAAAUAAAAUUUGCAGCCGCUGCGUUUAAAUCAGCAAAUUGGAUUUGAUGAAUAUUUUUCAGCUUGAUUUGCUUUAUCCAUAUUUUGUAGUUUGGCUCAUAUUUGCUUUUUGUUUAUUUAGAAGAUCAUUUAUGGAUACAUAACUUGUGGUUUGUACUAAUGGUGUCUACUUAUGAUUUCCAUAAUUUAGAAACACUAAACGUAGAAAAACUAUCAUGUUCUGUAAAACAACAUGUGUAUUAUGUUUUUGCUGUUUAUCUUUAGGUACAUCAAAAAACUCGAAUCGAUAGAACUUGAAUUAGUAAGGGUAGCACGUGAGAUACAAGUCCACCAAUGGACCGAUAUCAAAGAAAUGAAGGCGAUACAAGUCCACCAAUGGACCGAUAUCAAAGAAAUGAAGGCGAUACAAGUCGACCAAUGGACCGAUAUCAAAGAAAUGAAGGCGAUACAAGUCGACCAAUGGAUCGAUAUCAAAGAAAUGAAGGCGAUACAAGUCGACCAAUGGACCGAUAUCAAAGAAAUGAAGGCCCAGAUAUCUGAAAAGCAUAAUAA
Molecule: long non-coding RNA, 578 nt
Filed under: Arabidopsis thaliana (thale cress)
Lineage: Eukaryota; Viridiplantae; Streptophyta; Magnoliopsida; Brassicales; Brassicaceae
Description: long non-coding RNA (ATHA_LNC000186)
Source: RNAcentral